RNAcentral lists this non-coding RNA (30 nucleotides) under Mus musculus (house mouse). The record is from RNAcentral. Lineage: Eukaryota; Metazoa; Chordata; Mammalia; Rodentia; Muridae.
UGGGAACUUAUGAUGGGUGUCACUUUAUUG